AUUGAACGCUGGCGGCAGGCCUAACACAUGCAAGUCGGACGGUAGCACAGGGGAGCUUGCUCCUCGGGUGACGAGUGGCGGACGGGUGAGUAAUGUCUGGGGAUCUGCCCGAUAGAGGGGGAUCACAAAGGGACACGGUGGCCAAUACCGCAUAAUGUCGCAAGACCAAAGAGGGGGACCUUCGGGCCUCACACUAUCGGAUGAACCCAGAUGGGAGUAGCUGGUAGGCGGGGUAACGGCCCACCUAGGCGCCGAUCCAUAGCUGGUCUGAGAGGAUGACCAGCCACACUGGAACUGAGACACGGUCCAGACUCCUACGGGAGGCAGCAGUGGGGAAUAUUGCACAAUGGGCGCAAGCCUGAUGCAGCCAAGCCGCGCGUAUGAAGAAGGCCUUCGGGUUGUAAAGUACUUUCAGCGGGGAGGAAGGCGAUGUGGUUAAUAACCGCGUCGAUUGACGUUACCCGCAGAAGAAGCACCGGCUAACUCCGUGCCAGCCGCCGCGGUAA
Molecule: ribosomal RNA, 506 nt
Filed under: uncultured bacterium
Lineage: Bacteria
Description: partial 16S ribosomal RNA
Rfam family: Bacterial small subunit ribosomal RNA
Source: RNAcentral